CCUACGGGAGGCAGCAGUGGGGAAUUUUGGACAAUGGGCGCAAGCCUGAUCCAGCAAUGCCGCGUGAGUGAAGAAGGCCUUCGGGUUGUAAAGCUCUUUUGUCAGGGAAGAAACGGUGGGGGCUAAUAUCCUCCACUAAUGACGGUACCUGAAGAAUAAGCACCGGCUAACUACGUGCCAGCAGCCGCGGUAAUACGUAGGGUGCAAGCGUUAAUCGGAAUUACUGGGCGUAAAGCGUGCGCAGGCGGUUUUGUAAGUUUGUCGUGAAAUCCCCGGGCUCAACCUGGGAAUGGCGAUGAAGACUGCAAGGCUAGAAUCUGGCAGAGGGGGGUAGAAUUCCACGUGUAGCAGUGAAAUGCGUAGAGAUGUGGAGGAACACCGAUGGCGAAGGCAGCCCCCUGGGUCAAGAUUGACGCUCAUGCACGAAAGCGUGGGGAGCAAACAGGAUUAGAUACCCUGGUAGUCCACGCCCUAAACGAUGUCUACUAGUUGUCGGGUUUUAAUUAACUUGGUAACGCAGCUAACGCGUGAAGUGACCGCCUGGGGAGUACGGUCGCAAGNUUAAACUUNAAAGUGAGUUAGAGNGNGNGNGNGCGAGCGACGACGAGGAGAGG
This 614-nucleotide ribosomal RNA is filed under the name uncultured bacterium. RNAcentral's name for it is "bacterial SSU rRNA". It matches the Rfam family "Bacterial small subunit ribosomal RNA", at positions 338 to 945 of the family's 1533-position model. The record is from RNAcentral.